GAUGAACGCUAGCUACAGGCUUAACACAUGCAAGUCGAGGGGAAACGAUAUUGGAAGCUUGCUUCCGAUAGGCGUCGACCGGCGCACGGGUGAGUAACGCGUAUCCAACCUGCCCAUCACUUGGGAAUAACCUUGCGAAAGUAAGACUAAUGCCCAAUGACAUUUAUAGAAGGCAUCUGAAAUGAAUUAAAGAUUAUCGGUGAUGGAUGGGGAUGCGUCUGAUUAGCUUGUUGGCGGGGUAACGGCCCACCCAAGGCGACGAUCAGUAGGGGUUCUGAGAGGAAGGUCCCCCACAUUGGAACUGAGACACGGUCCAAACUCCUACGGGAGGCAGCAGUGAGGAAUAUUGGUCAAUGGGCGGAAGCCUGAACCAGCCAAGUUAGCGUGCAGGAAGACGGCCCUAAUGGGUUGUAAACUGCUUUUAUAGGGGAAUAAAGUGAGCCACGUGUGGUUUUUUGCAUGUACCCUAUGAAUAAGGACCGGCUAAUUCCGUG
This 494-nucleotide ribosomal RNA is filed under the name uncultured bacterium. RNAcentral's name for it is "bacterial SSU rRNA". It matches the Rfam family "Bacterial small subunit ribosomal RNA", at positions 28 to 507 of the family's 1533-position model. The record is from RNAcentral.